This 349-nucleotide transfer-messenger RNA is filed under the name uncultured Acidimicrobiaceae bacterium. Its description in RNAcentral is "transfer-messenger RNA, SsrA". It matches the Rfam family "transfer-messenger RNA". From Rfam's summary of the family: Bacterial tmRNA, also known as 10Sa RNA or SsrA, is named for its dual tRNA and mRNA-like properties. Its role is to liberate the mRNA from a stalled ribosome. Lineage: Bacteria; Bacillati; Actinomycetota; Acidimicrobiia; Acidimicrobiales; Acidimicrobiaceae. The record is from RNAcentral. RNAcentral also lists the same sequence under 1 other name.
GGGGGUGAAUGGUCUCGACGUUGGAUGUUGAGGUGAGAGAAGCGAGCCGUGGUCUCAGGAACCACGUUAAAGAGCCUGAAACAAAAAUAAACGCCGAGCCUAAGCUCAGCCUCGCUGCCUAGAGCAGCGACGUUCAUCCGGUCUCAGUCCUGCGGAUCGGAAUAUGGACGUCAUCAAGUAGGACUUACCUUGUAACUGCGCUUUACCGGAUUCAAGGGACACCUCAGUAAAGAUAGGGAGUGAGAUAGUUGCCAAUCGGCUCUCACUCUCAACAACGCUCGGUUGGCUGCGCUCGGAGAAUGCUUACCAAGGUACCGGCGGACGCGGGUUCGAUUCCCGCCACCUCCAC